UAGAGGCAGGGUCAGACCGUUUCUCUUUUGGACUUGGGAUUUGUUAGAUGUACUUUUUCUUUAGCAGGUCAACGUCGGUUUCGGGGGUUGUAAAAUACUUGGGGGAAAAGUAGCUCUGCUUCGGGAGAGUGUUAUAGACCCUGGGGGAUGCAGCCUGUGGGAUCGAGGAUUGCAGCAAAUGCCUUCUGGCUUGUCGCCUAUUCCUGGGUGUCACCUGUCUUGUGGCAACAUUCUUGCCACCGGAGAGUACUAAUGCCUACUGUUUAGAGCGAUCGAAAAU
RNAcentral lists this ribosomal RNA (280 nucleotides) under uncultured Diversispora. Its description in RNAcentral is "partial 28S ribosomal RNA". The record is from RNAcentral. Lineage: Eukaryota; Fungi; Glomeromycota; Glomeromycetes; Diversisporales; Diversisporaceae.